This 226-nucleotide long non-coding RNA is filed under the name Elaeis guineensis (African oil palm). Its description in RNAcentral is "long non-coding RNA (EGUI_LNC079043)". The record is from RNAcentral. Lineage: Eukaryota; Viridiplantae; Streptophyta; Magnoliopsida; Arecales; Arecaceae.
GACUUCCAUUAGGAGAUCCUUUAGGCGUCAGCUAUUGGAGCUCUUGCACCCACAAAUGCAUAUGCUACAUGGCACCCAUGAGAUGCCCCAAGCUGGUCCCACAUGCCCUCUAAUGGGCGAGCACGCCCAACUUGAUCAAAUCAAGUGGCGUCCAAUCAAAACUAUCAAGAAAAUUGAUUAAGAGCUUGAAUCCUUAAUUCAUUUAAUCCAAAAUUCUAGACACCCA